Molecule: ribosomal RNA, 737 nt
Filed under: Gonyaulax fragilis
Lineage: Eukaryota; Dinophyceae; Gonyaulacales; Gonyaulacaceae
Description: LSU rRNA
Rfam family: Eukaryotic large subunit ribosomal RNA
Source: RNAcentral
AUGGCGAAUGACCAGGAAGAGCUCACAUUGACAAUCCGUACUUUGUGUCUGGAAUUGUAUUUCAAAGUUGUGUUGCUAAUGAAAGUGUGUGUGCAAGCCAUUUGGGAAAAUGUGGCAACGAAGGUGAAACUCUUGUGUGUCAUGUGCAAGCUUUCAUGCAAGGUAUGCUCCCAAGAAUCGUGUUCCUUGGAAUUGGAGUGCAAAGCAGGUGGUAAAUUUCAUGUGAAGCUAAAUAUAUGUUUGAGACUGAUAGUGUACAAGUACCAUGAGGGAAAUGUGAAAAGGACUUUGAAAAGAAAGUUACAAGUACCUGAAAUUGCUGGAAUGAAAGCAAAUGACAUGAUGCUGUUUAGCAAGAUUGCAGUUUGCAGACAUCAAGCAGGGUGCAUGUCAUGUGCAUUUCUGGGCUUGUGUGGGUAUACAGUGUAUCUUGCUUUGCAUGCCAUGACGAAGCUGCAUGUCAACACCAAACAUGCAUAAGUGAAUUGCAUAUUGUAUGUUGUGAAUAUGUCCUUACAUGGUAUGCAGCUUGGUUGUUGUCGCUGGGUGCUGUGCCCCUUGUCUCCUGUGGCAAGGGUGCCAACCUGGCCCAUUGCAUGAAUGUGAUGCUUCAUUUGACCCGUCUUGAAACACGGACCAAGGAGUCUAAUACAUGUGCAAAUCUGUGGGUCAUCUUUUGGGGUGCAAUGAAAAUGACAAUUGGGAUGUGUGCACUGAUAGCCACCAAUCAACUGUGA